RNAcentral lists this ribosomal RNA (307 nucleotides) under Escherichia coli. RNAcentral's name for it is "partial 23S ribosomal RNA". It matches the Rfam family "Bacterial large subunit ribosomal RNA", at positions 138 to 483 of the family's 2925-position model. Lineage: Bacteria; Pseudomonadati; Pseudomonadota; Gammaproteobacteria; Enterobacterales; Enterobacteriaceae. The record is from RNAcentral.
AUUCGUCACACUAUCAUUAACUGAAUCCAUAGGUUAAUGAGGCGAACCGGGGGAACUGAAACAUCUAAGUACCCCGAGGAAAAGAAAUCAACCGAGAUUCCCCCAGUAGCGGCGAGCGAACGGGGAGCAGCCCAGAGCCUGAAUCAGUGUGUGUGUUAGUGGAAGCGUCUGGAAAGGCGUGCGAUACAGGGUGACAGCCCCGUACACAAAAAUGCACAUGCUGUGAGCUCGAUGAGUAGGGCGGGACACGUGGUAUCCUGUCUGAAUAUGGGGGGACCAUCCUCCAAGGCUAAAUACUCCUGACUGA